Molecule: non-coding RNA, 2076 nt
Organism: Triticum urartu
Lineage: Eukaryota; Viridiplantae; Streptophyta; Magnoliopsida; Poales; Poaceae
Source: RefSeq, a predicted model, not a curated record
AUGGGAUGAACAGAACAAUUUCCAAUUUGACCCGUAUUUGGUCACGCAAGGUUAGCUUUUCUAUAGCUUUUAUUGAUGAAUUUGAAAAUACAUACAAUGCCUUCUGAAUCUGAGCAAUAUCCCCACAAUUUUUUUCUGUAUCACAAAGAGACCACCAUGAUGAGUAUGUGUUCCAAUGAGCAAGUGGUGCUAGCGUAACUCAUGAAUAAGGGAACACUAUAUCAAGGCUGUGAAGAAGGCUACCAUCGAGACAAAGAGCGAUCACCCCAAGGGUUAAUGCGUGGCGUAGAAGGUUAUCAAAAGAACUAUGUCAUUUUUUAAAAUUAAUUUCCUAGACAAGUACACUCGCACAUGCAUCUUUGCGACAAAAUAAAAACUGCACUACUCUCUCUCUCUCUCAUCUAAUGUUAUCAGAAGUACUAAUUGUGGAUUUCAUCGCUAUUUUCUCCAAAAACUCUGUUUAGUAUCCCUUCCAAUGUAAGUUUAUUACUAUGUGAUUAGAGAAAUUAAGAGGUAUAUGCGCAUACUAUAAGAUCAUGAUCAGUGGUGUACAGAAAUCCUAUGAAGUGAAAUACACAACGUAUUUUAUAUAUACUAUCUGUCGUUAAAUUCCAAUGUAUGUAUAUUGAGAUAUUUGUUGGAAGUGUCAUUAAUGCAAACCAUUGUGCUGUAAUACUUCACGCAGGAUAUCUAAAGGGAACUCUUUUAAAUUAUGGUCUUAUUCUACAACUAUGAUUAAGGGAGUAUGCACGGGUUGAUGAAAAUGUCGCACAAUUAAUUCUAUGUUGUAUCACCCAAUGGACAGCAGCUUCCUUGACUUUAUUUUGUUCUCAUCUAGUGGCAUGGUAUUCUGCCAUGUUCCCUUGUCUUUAUGUACAGUUUCGAUGUCCAGUGAAAAGACCAAAUCAUUUACUUAGUCGCUCUUGGCCUGUUCUGCUAUCAUGGUUUUACUGAUGUUCACAUUCCAAAUUAACAAUUAGUUGCUAGUGGGUGUUGUCCUUGCUGAAAUGCUCACUUUAUGGAUUCCAAAGCUUCUUUUUUUACAUCUGAGCGUUGGAGUGCUUCCAAUUAAAGGACUUGUAUUAUUAUGCAUGGCUAAUUAAUACACUUCUAUAACUAUGGAAUUUUGAUAUUUGUUGUACUAAAACUCCACUAUGACAACCGGUGCACAACAACAACUUUGUAAUCCAUGUGAGCUUCUAGGUUCUGGCUUUGUAGUGUGCAUCAUAUCUAGCUAAAAAAUGUAAUGAUGUGAAACUAUGUUAGAUCUUGCUGGUGUGCUGCUUGUCAACCUUGCUAUGUUGUUGUCUGCUGAAUUCUGGGUGUACAUCGACGCAAAUGAACAUGGAAACAACUUCAGAACUAUUCUUCACAUUUUUUGACUAAAAAUUCGAACCACUGAACAUGAUCACUUCCAUAUCUCUGAAAUGAGAAUUUACUCAAGUUUCUAUUCUGCUAGCGAUAGUUUUGUUGUCAUGUUCAUAUAAGAAAAUGCCAAAUACAAAUGGCCUUCAUUAGCAUUACUAUAUUAGCAACACAAUAUGUAGUAGCAAACCCCAACAUAAAUGAUAUCUUUAGUUCCUAUGACAGAUAUAGAUGGAUUAUUAGUUCAUAAAGCAAGCGAUACAGCAAAAAAACUAAGUGUUAUGUAUUUGUGAAUCAGAAAAAGGAAUGGCAUGUAGGUAGUUAUCCCCCAUGGGCACAUAGACCAGGAUACAUUGUAUCUCAGGAUAUAGGAAACACAAAAGAGGUGUGCUAAAGAUGUUCAAGCUGGAGAAUGUUCUCCAAUGGGAUGAAGAACGAAGGCUUUGAUGUCAAGUGCGAGAAUGAUGAAAUGAUCUUGCUGGAAAGCUGUGAGGAUGGGUAGUAGUUGCCCACUACAAGGAGCCAAGGCAGAUGAUGUUUUGCAGAAAACAAAGUGAUGAACUUUUGCUCUCAGACAAUGAACUAUCAAGUUUCCUCUAUUUAAUUAGUUACAUUAGUUUAUUUAUAGGAAACUUGGCUGCUCAUUGGUUCAUAACAAAUGAACUAUUUAUAUGUGAAAAUUAAUGAAUGUGUAUGACUAUUGUUUGGUUC